GUAUUAUAUAUGAGAGAGAUUAUUAUAAUAAUGAAAUUUAAAAUUUUGGCGGCUAUUUAUUAUUUAGAGGAACUUGCCUAUUAAUAGAAAUUACUCUUUAAAUCUUACUUAUUUUUGUUUAUUUAUCUUCGUUAUUAGAUGAUAAUUAUAUAAAUAUUUAAUUUAUAUUUCAGAUCAAGAUGUAGCAAAAAUAGGAUUAGGUUAGUUACUUUUAUGGAAUGAUGAAUAUUUAUUUGGCAUAGAAAUUGAAAUUGAAUUUAGUUGUAAAAUUAUUUAAAAUAAUAAUUUGAAACUAUUUAAUUAGGUU
This 307-nucleotide ribosomal RNA is filed under the name Metavononoides albisectus. RNAcentral's name for it is "partial 12S ribosomal RNA". The record is from RNAcentral. Lineage: Eukaryota; Metazoa; Arthropoda; Arachnida; Opiliones; Cosmetidae.